This is a non-coding RNA of Paramormyrops kingsleyae, 4553 nucleotides long. The record is from RefSeq and is a predicted model, not a curated record. Lineage: Eukaryota; Metazoa; Chordata; Actinopteri; Osteoglossiformes; Mormyridae.
UUUACUGGACCACAACGCUAACGGUGAAAUAACCUUAGUUGUCGGAUAAUUUAUAAAAUUUUAGGCGGGUGAUGCAAUCCCCUAUAAAUAGGGCCGCUCCCCACUGAGUUCCCUCAUUUCCCUCUGACCACCACAGAGGGAGGACAUGGGACUCAGGGGUGGAAGAAAAUCAUUUAUUGGCUGUCCAUCGGGACAGGAUGGUGCUGGAUUGACCCUUGGGGGGUCUUAGAGGCUGGGAGGUGCCUCUGGGGGACACCAGGGAUUGCGGGGAUUCCACACAGGGGGGCGCUAAUCCAUCAUAUUAUGGAAAGAAGUAUAAAAUUAUAAAGGGGCAGCACCUGAUAAAAGGGCAUUAACUGGCAAUUACCUACCUGUGUGCUCCUCCGUUGUCUUCGUCUUCCUCCGGGUUGGCUGCCUGGUCUUUGGAUCCUUUUCUUGGUCUCUCCAUUGCCGUCUUCUCCUGCAAAACACAAAAAAUAGCAAUUAUUGUCACCAUAUCCAGGGGGUUAUGUGUGGUGUAAGGGGGUGGAUGUUGGACGGGGCCAUUCAGGCCCAUGCAUAACGGUAUUCCUGGGAGUGGGGGUGCGGGACUGUCUCCUGGAAACGGCAGUCAGGACAUUUAACUAUAACCCUAACCGUAACUGUAUUUAUAUGAGGUUGAAUGACCCACCUACAUUUUUAAUAAUUUUCCUCCAACCAGGGUUGGAAUUGCCCUUAUGGUUGUGGUCCAGGUAAGUAAGGGUUAGGGCCCUAGGAUUAAAAUUACCCAUAAGGUCAUAGUCUUAAGGUUUGCAAAAUGGUAUGGGAUGUGCUGAUUGGGCAUUGUUUUUCGCACUGGGGACAUAAAUGCGCAAAUUAUUCUCUGCUGGUGCAGUUUUUGUGGUAGUGUCUCGAGUACGCAGAGUAUGCAACCCUUGACAUGUAAGUACAUUUAUUUACAGUUUACUCUUUUACUCUAUAGAUUUUUAUAAUUCCGUGAUUCAGCAAAUUAUAAUUAACAUCUGCUUUGGUAACAAUUUUAUUAUGGUACAUAGGGAAAAGUUCCGCAUCGCCUUUGUCAAGCUUUGCGUGUGCAAAGUAAUGCUUAGUGCUUUUGGCUUUUACUUGGACAAAGUUAUGUGGGGCUUUGUUUGGGCAAAGUUAUGUGGGGCACUUGUCGGCUUUGUUUAGGCAAAGUUAUGUACGGUACUUGUCGGCUUUGUUUAGGCAAAGUUAUGCGGGGCAUUUGUCGGGUUUUGUUUGGGCUAAGUUAUGCCUGGCACUUGUCACGCUUUGUUUGGGCAAAGUUAUGCGGAGUUAGGGUUAUGGUUAGAAACAAAAUGUUUCUUAUGACCCGUAAGUGGUAGUGCAUUUAGAAAGAAAGACGCUAUCCCAAAAAACACUGCUAGUUACACUGUGGCCAGUUUGGAUAGGUUUUGGAUAGGUCUUGGAUAGGUUUUGGAUAUAUUUGGCACAAGUCGUGUGAAUAAAAUAUAGAUUUUCCUCCAGAUGUGUGGUGAUGUGUGACAAAAUGUUUCUUAUGACCUGUAAGUGGUAAUGCAUUUAGAAAUAAAGACACUAUCCCAAAAAAACUGCUUGUUACACUGUGGCCAUUUUGGAUUGGUUUCAGAUAGGUUUUGGAUAUGAAAGGCUCCCAGUCACACCAUUUGUUCAUUCCUCUGUAAAACCUGUUCUGCUACAUCAAAUGACAUGAAGUUGGGCACACAUGUAGAAAACAAGUUAGGGAACCACAUAUUGAAAAUUGGACCUAAUCCAUCAUGUACUUCUUUAAAAUAUUUGCAAAAAUCCAAGACACAAAGACAGGUUUUUGUAUUUUUCCAGCUGUUUUUGUUAUAUUCUCAUGUCCAUAAAUUAUACAGUUAUUCAUUUUGGUUAUUGAGCUUCCAACAAUUGAUUGUAAAGGGGUCAGCUUUGAUUUUAGGUAUCAGACAUGUGUCUGUGACUUUUACAUCUCUAGUUAUAAGGUAAUUAAUCCAAAGAGGGAAGUAAUGCCCCCUGCAAUGGGCCCCCUGCAAAGGGGCCCCUGGUGCACCCCAUAGAGUUAACCUGUAAUUUAAAAUUAAGCAUUUUAAAUAAGCAACUUUCCACUUAAUGCAUAAAGCAAUGAAAUGCACUGUGAAGUAUAUGCAAUCAAAUGUGCUUCUGUACAGAUGGUCAAUCGUUGUUCGGAAAUGUUUUUGAUUUCUAGAUCUAAUUGACAAUGACGAGGAAGCCGCAGGCUUGCCCCCUCUGCGCUAUCUUAACGUGUCAGUCCACCUGCGUGAUGUCCACCGGGUGGACAGCACAAAGGAGAGGAGGCUGCUUUAUGCGGCACUGUCGGGCAGGUAUGCUGGGCCACUGAAUUGUCCAGUGGCCCACUGCCUGUCCACGAACUUGGUGAGGCUGGACCGCCAUUUGCGGGUCCGGCACAACCUGGAGGGCGAUGAAUUGAAAAAUCAGGUGACCGCCGCAAAAAAGAUUGCAGCGAGGCAGUCCCUGCAGGAGUUCAGAGCAAAACGCUCUGAGGAAAGCGAUGAGCUGACGCUGCUGAAACAGAGUGUCCACCAAUUGGAGGAGCAGGCGGCUCACUGCUCGCGGCACCACCACGCAGCUUCGUCGCCACAGGCUCUGUCAUCUCAAAGUACAAGGAGAAUGUGUUCCGGGUCGGCUCGUCUGGGAAAUGUUCCCAAAAUCAGCAGCAAGAGCUGAAAUAUAUAAAAAACUUUGUGUUUUACAUGUGGGGUAAUGACGAGGCCCCAUCUCCCGCCACCAAAAUUAUUGGGCACAGACAGCUGGUAAAAGAGAACAAGAGCCAGAGGAUGCCGACCCGGGACAACCUGGCUGAGCUGGCGACGGAGCUGCAUUCCCGGAUCCCCGACUGCCUGGAUGCCCUAGUAGCCUGCCCUGACAGCAUUAGGACCAGGAACAAAUGCAUAGGUGCUCUUGCCACCUAUGCACUUGUCAACAGUGGCCACCGCAGCAGCGUCCUGAUCAACAUGUUGGUCAGGGAGGUCACUGAGGCACAGGCAGUCGGAGACCACGUUGUGAUUCACGUGAGGGAUCGCAAGACGUCAGGCACCUUCGGCAGGGCAAACCUGGCCCUGUCAAAGGAGUACGGCUGGUUUAUUGCUUUUGCAAACCUACGUCCUCAGCUGCCCGGCUUCUCGUCUGCCACCGGGACCUUCUUUUUUACCUCGUCAGGGCAGCCAAUGAGAAAGUUGAAUGACAUGGUAAAGGAGAUGUGCCUGGAGUGUGGCAUGCCACAGCCGUUCAGCAUCUCUAAGAUUAGAUCUUAGAUCGAGGAGGUGGGCACCAGUGGAUCACCUUGUGAUCCCUCACCUGUGCACGACGGCGACUGUGGCGAGGGUCGGGAAGAGACCGCUGGGGGGCAGGUGCUGCCCCCAGCAGAUCAUGGAGAAGCUAACAGUGUCACAAUGGCUGUUGGUGGUGGCCAAGAAGGCCAAUCCUCUCCAGUCGAGAGUGAACUGGAGCAGUCAGUGUUGGGGCUGCAGCUGGAGGAGGAGGAAGAGGAGUAGCAUUGUGAAUUUCCCAGUCCUCUGCCAAAGGCAGUAGCUCAUUCAAAGAUACUUUAUAGGAGGAAGCUGCAAUACCCUGACUGCUUCAAAGAGCUUCUGAGAAAUGAAUUUAAAGAACACCUUCAUUCCCCAGUAAAAAUGCAAACGAUAAACACUGUUUUAAGUCAGUCCCCUGACUUUUAAAUAAAUGUAAAGCAAUGGAGCUGACAAUUGACAAUGUAAGGGGACUGCUAAAACAAUAGCAACGAUCUAAUUGACAAUGACGAGGCCAAGCCGCAGGCUUGCCCCCUCUGCCGGGUGCGCUAUCUUAACGUGUCAGUCCACCUGCGUGAUGUCCACCGGGUGGACAGCACAAAGGAGAGGAGGCUGCUUUAUGCGGCACUGUCGGGCAGGUAUGCUGGGCCACUGAAUUGUCCAGUGGCCCACUGCCUGUCCAUGAACUUGGUGAGGCUGGACCGCCAUUUGCGGGUCCGGCACAACCUGGAGGGCGAUGAAUUGAAAAAUCAGGUAUUCCAUUCCAUUAAAUUCAUUUGUAUCUGUUCAGGUUUCUAUAGCACUUCAUUGUCUCAGCAUUUCACAUGAUCAUCUCUUGCUGGAAACCUAGGUGACCGCCGCAAAAAAGAUUGCAGCGAGGCAGUCCCUGCAGGAGUUCAGAGCAAAACGCUCUGAGGAAAGCGAUGAGCUGACACUGCUGAAACAGAGUGUCCGCCAAUUGGAGGAGCAGGCGGCUCACUGCUCGCGGCACCACCACGCAGUUUCGUCGCCACAGGUGGCCUCGGUGCUUUUCUCCGGUAAUAAUAAUAGUAAUAAUAAUUACAAUUGCAAUGUCAUGAUAAAGCUCAUAAGACUUGACAGAUGCAUGUCAGUUUUUUUCAUGUCUUGUCUUGUAUGUUAGUCAAUGCAGUUCAGACGAGUCACUGUAAAGAUAUCUGGUCAUCUGUUUAUUUGUUUUCUGAUUUAUAUUUAUUUUCUCACUUAUGAUAUACAGAAUAAUUUUUUUUAAUUGCUUUUUUUUCCUUAUGUAUUUUUUGCUGAAUU